RNAcentral lists this long non-coding RNA (624 nucleotides) under Triticum aestivum (bread wheat). RNAcentral describes it as "long non-coding RNA (TAES_LNC009502)". Lineage: Eukaryota; Viridiplantae; Streptophyta; Magnoliopsida; Poales; Poaceae. The record is from RNAcentral.
CUGGGCUGUGUGUUGGCGUAUCCUGGUGGGGGUGGUUGAUGAGCCGCCGGCGGGGUGCCUGGGCCAGUGUGGGAAGAGGUCGUCGAGUCCGGGUGGCACCGGAAUGGGUCCGGAUGCCAUCGAGAUGAGGGCGGCGGGGGUCGGAUGUUGCGGAGGUGCCCCGGCCGACACGCGCCACCUCUGUCAAUUCAUCUGUGGAAGGAAGCUAUGGAGACAGCUUUGGGGCCUUCCUGCUUCUUCUGUCCUUUUUUAUGUAUGCUGUGUUCUACAGUUUCCAUGUCCAUGUUCUAACUGCGAUUUGUUUCUUUCAGAUGGAUGGAUGGAUGGAUCUGCUACGAAAUACGAAGUUCAUCAGCUGCAACAACAGGACGAGCUAAAUUGGUGACUUUUUAUAAGAUCCGGGAACAAGCAUGUUAAUUGGGGAUAUAAUAUGUCGGGGAUAUCAUAUCAGCAGUAAAUUUGUUAUUUACUUUCUUUGUAUGGUCAUCUACGCAUCUGUUCUCAAUACAUCUUCUUGCACCUUCAGUCAGCCUUCAAGCAGCGAUGUCUUUCGAUAUUAACGUCGUUAAUACACUGAUCGGGUUGGGUUCUGAUUCUUACCAUUUCAGGCUUUCAGCUGAGGAG